GGGGUUGGUCCUUUGCGCAUAUCCAAGUGUGACGUAAUUCCGAGUGGUAGCACAUGUGUCGCCCAUGUGCUUUUGACCGAGUUGCAUUCGAUGUUGAUUUGCGACUCUGCGGUGCUUCAGAUAUCGAAUCUCCGGCCAGUGCUGGUGUCCAGUUGUAUCCAUUGUUGUUGGCUGUGCCUUCCUCUUCCUGGUGACCCUGGUCUCCCCAAUCAACUGACGAGCCAGUUCCUGUCUGUAACUGAUCUGUAUGGAUGAAAAAUUAAUUUGCAACUAAAUGCACAUAAUUGAUGUCCGUGUGGAUAGCUUGUGAUUCGGAGACUCCUUCAUAAGCAAAAAGGAGUUGACAAUGGCGGUAUCCAGCAGGAAGUAGAAAAGGUACUUCCACCAUUUGAGUGACUUCCUACUGCAGGAGUACUGCAUCCUGAGCUGAUCCGCCCUAUCGACCGCAUUCAUACGCGAACCGUAGAGCUGACCUGCUUCAGGUGCCAGGGAGACAUGUGUUGUGCCGUCUUUCUUCUUCCGGCUUACCUCACUAAGUUUUGUGGCGUCUACAUUCGUGUAUAAGAAAUUUACCUGAAGAAAAAAUGUUGAAAACUAGAAAUGUUUUGCCUUGUUCAAUCAACAGCACUAGCCAAAACACUACACUGAUAUAACACUUUGAGAUGUUAUCAGAUAAUUUAUUUGACAGAGUUUCCUCUGACCUCGACACCAGCUAAAGACAUUAUGAUAGUCAGAAAAUAAACAACGAGGACUUUUUCCCUGAUGAUUUGUUCAACUUUCCAUCAAUAAAGCAUUAUCAGUGUGUUAGAUAUA
Pecten maximus is the source of this 813-nucleotide long non-coding RNA. RefSeq lists it as uncharacterized. The transcript has 3 exons. NCBI's taxonomy places the organism in Eukaryota, Metazoa, Mollusca, Bivalvia, Pectinida, Pectinidae. The record is from RefSeq and is a predicted model, not a curated record.